This 492-nucleotide ribosomal RNA is filed under the name uncultured bacterium. RNAcentral describes it as "partial 16S ribosomal RNA". It matches the Rfam family "Bacterial small subunit ribosomal RNA", at positions 29 to 507 of the family's 1533-position model. The record is from RNAcentral.
AGUGAACGCUGGCGGUAGGCCUAACACAUGCAAGUCAAACGGCAGCACAGUAAGAGCUUGCUCUUACGGGUGGCGAGUGGCGGACAGGUGAGGAAUACAUCGGAAUCUACUUUUUCGUGGGGGAUAACGUAGGGAAACUUACGCUAAUACCGCAUACGACCUACGGGUGAAAGCAGGGGAUCUUCGGACCUUGCGCGAUUGAAUGAGCCGAUGUCGGAUUAGCUAGUUGGCGGGGUAAAGGCCCACCAAGGCGACGAUCCGUAGCUGGUCUGAGAGGAUGAUCAGCCACACUGGAACUGAGACACGGUCCAGACUCCUACGGGAGGCAGCAGUGGGGAAUAUUGGACAAUGGGCGCAAGCCUGAUCCAGCCAUACCGCGUGGGUGAAGAAGGCCUUCGGGUUGUAAAGCCCUUUUGUUGGGAAAGAAAAGCAGCAGGUUAAUACCCCGCUGUUCUGACGGUACCCAAAGAAUAAGCACCGGCUAACUUCGUG